UACAGAGGGGGCAAGCGUUGUUCGGAAUUACUGGGCGUAAAGGGCGCGUAGGCGGCCUGCUAAGUCGAACGUGAAAUCCCCGAGCUCAACUCGGGAACUGCGUCCGAUACUGGUUGGCUUGAAUCCGGGAGAGGGAUGUGGAAUUCCAGGUGUAGCGGUGAAAUGCGUAGAUAUCUGGAGGAACACCGGUGGCGAAGGCGGCAUCCUGGACCGGUAUUGACGCUGAGGCGCGAAAGCCAGGGGAGCAAACGGG
This 253-nucleotide ribosomal RNA is filed under the name uncultured bacterium. Its description in RNAcentral is "partial 16S ribosomal RNA". It matches the Rfam family "Bacterial small subunit ribosomal RNA", at positions 524 to 776 of the family's 1533-position model. The record is from RNAcentral.